This 63-nucleotide transfer RNA is filed under the name Japanagallia turriformis. RNAcentral describes it as "tRNA-Tyr". Lineage: Eukaryota; Metazoa; Arthropoda; Insecta; Hemiptera; Cicadellidae. The record is from RNAcentral.
AUUAGGGUGUCUGACUAAAAGAGGUAAACUGUAAAUUUAUUUAUGAAUUAAAUUCCCUUAAUA